AAGGGCACAGUACUUGAAACACAGGCAGGGCCAGGGCAGAACUGGAAGGAGGGGCUUUAAUCCAGUGGGGUCUUUUGGGGUUGCUGCAAGGCAAGACUCUUCCCAGACUUCUCAAGACUAGUCUGGGCUGUCUUUUCCCAGAAACAGAUGCAACAGUAGCAAUAACAGCAGCAGUCUCCCACAAGCACACCCCAAACCACGAACAUGUUGUUAACUUAUCCUUCUCAGUAUCUCCCACAGGCAGAAAGAGCCAGGGAAACAGGGUGUUUGGGGAUUUGUUUUUGUUUGUUUCUUUGCUUUUAUUAAAUAAUGUGCUGAUUCUGGCUGGAGUACAUUUCUUUAUAGUACCUAGAAUGGGACUAUAUUUUGAAUUUGUACUGGAAACCGUGUUGAUAAUUCAGGGGUGUUUUAGUUAUUGCUGAGCAGUGCUGACAGAGAGUCAAGGCCUCCUCUGCUCCUCCUACCACCCACCGGGGAGUAGCUGUGGGUGCACAAAGUCUGAGAGGGAGCACAGCUGGUUCAGCUGACCCCAACUGACCAAAGGGGUAUUCCAGACCAUAUCACAUCAUGCUCAGCAUUUAAAGAUGGGGGAAGAAGAAGGAAGGGGGGGACAUUGAGUGAUGGCAUUUGCAUUUCCAUGUAACUGCUGUGCUUUUCUGGAGUAGGCAGAACUCUUGGGUGUUGAUGGAACUAGUGAAUGAAUUCUUUGCUUUGCUUUGCUUGUACUCACAGUGUUUGCUUUAUUUAUUAAACUGUUGAGUUCUUUAUUAAACCCAUGAAUUUUCUCAUUUUUACUGAGAAAGCAGCUGUGUGGUCCUGAGUUGCCAUCUGUGGUGAAACCAUGACAAAGAAACAAAUGAGCAUUGAAUGAGUUAAAAUUUUAACAUGGAAAGGCAGAAGUCAACUGCAUUUGGACACUUCAUAUUGUUUAGGGAGUCUCACAGGAAUGUUGCAGCAGCCCAUAACCAUAGUAAAUUAAUUGUAUCUUAGAAGAGAGUGGCCCUGCACCAGGAACUGCACUGCCAAGAUGUUUUUUUCCCAGGAGAUGAUUAAAAAAAUUCCUUCUCUGCACUCCUGUCUUUGGUUCCAUGUGAAUAAACACAGGUGUUCUUAUUCUGA
Pseudopipra pipra is the source of this 1119-nucleotide long non-coding RNA. RefSeq lists it as uncharacterized. The transcript has 2 exons. The record is from RefSeq and is a predicted model, not a curated record. NCBI's taxonomy places the organism in Eukaryota, Metazoa, Chordata, Aves, Passeriformes, Pipridae.